CUACGGGCGGCAGCAGUGGGGAAUAUUGCACAAUGGGCGAAAGCCUGAUGCAGCGACGCCGCGUGGAGGAUGAAGGUUUUCGGAUUGUAAACUCCUGUUAAGUGGAAAGAAAUCUUUGUAAUUAAUAUGUACAGAGGAUGACGGUACCACUAGAGAAAGCUCCGGCUAACUUCGUGCCAGCAGCCGCGGUAAUACGAGGGGGGCAAGCGUUACUCGGAAUCACUGGGCGUAAAGAGCGUGUAGGCGGAUUAAAAAGUCAGAAGUGAAAUCCUAUAGCUUAACUAUAGAACUGCUUCUGAAACUCUUAAUCUAGAAUAUGGGAGAGGUAGAUGGAAUUUCUGGCGUAGGGGUAAAAUCCGUAGAGAUCAGAAGGAAUACCGAUUGCGAAGGCGAUCUACUAGAACAUUAUUGACGCUGAGACGCGAAAGCGUGGGGAGCAAACAGGAUUAGAUACCCCCGUAGUC
Molecule: ribosomal RNA, 464 nt
Filed under: uncultured bacterium
Lineage: Bacteria
Description: partial 16S ribosomal RNA
Rfam family: Bacterial small subunit ribosomal RNA
Source: RNAcentral